RNAcentral lists this unclassified non-coding RNA (526 nucleotides) under uncultured bacterium. RNAcentral's name for it is "partial contains 16S ribosomal RNA, 16S-23S ribosomal RNA intergenic spacer, and 23S ribosomal RNA". The stretch from base 155 to 228 matches the Rfam family "tRNA". The record is from RNAcentral.
GGGUGAAGUCGUAACAAGGUAGCNGUAUCGNAAGGUGCGGCUGGAUCACCUCCUUUCUGGAAACUGCAAUCAAAUUUGAACGCUCACACUUAUCGGUUGUUGGAAGGUUGUCGCCAACGACUAUGGUUCGCGCCUGGUCACAAGCGACCGGCUCGGGUCUGUAGCUCAGUUGGUUAGAGCACCGUCUUGAUAAGGCGGGGGUCGUUGGUUCGAGACCAACCAGACCCACCAUUCCUCCACUUCAAUCCUGGGGGAUUAGCUCAGCUGGGAGAGCACCUGCUUUGCAAGCAGGGGGUCGUCGGUUCGAUCCCGAUCAGCUCCACAAAUUGAUUUGCGAUCCUUUGAAAAUUAAAUAACCGAGAGUAAAGUAAACAAUACAAUAGACACGCAAUGCAAUUUUAAGUUGGGUCUCUUAAUUGAAAAAUACGAAUACGCGUAGUAUGAGCCAGACAGUAAUGUCUUGGUCAAGUUUUAAAGGGCGCGCGGUGGAUGCCUAGGCGAUUAGAGGCGAUGAAGGACGUGCUAA